RNAcentral lists this transfer-messenger RNA (81 nucleotides) under Gammaproteobacteria bacterium. Its description in RNAcentral is "partial transfer-messenger RNA". It matches the Rfam family "transfer-messenger RNA", at positions 292 to 374 of the family's 374-position model. From Rfam's summary of the family: Bacterial tmRNA, also known as 10Sa RNA or SsrA, is named for its dual tRNA and mRNA-like properties. Its role is to liberate the mRNA from a stalled ribosome. The record is from RNAcentral. Lineage: Bacteria; Pseudomonadati; Pseudomonadota; Gammaproteobacteria.
AAAUUAAUAGAUAAAACUAAACAUGUAGAUCUUGUGGCAGAGUACUAGUGGACGCGGGUUCAAUUCCCGCCGCCUCCACCA